This 158-nucleotide small nuclear RNA is filed under the name Nicotiana attenuata. Its description in RNAcentral is "snRNA U1". It matches the Rfam family "U1 spliceosomal RNA". From Rfam's summary of the family: U1 is a small nuclear RNA (snRNA) component of the spliceosome (involved in pre-mRNA splicing). Its 5' end forms complementary base pairs with the 5' splice junction, thus defining the 5' donor site of an intron. Lineage: Eukaryota; Viridiplantae; Streptophyta; Magnoliopsida; Solanales; Solanaceae. The record is from RNAcentral.
ACACUUAUUUGGACGUGUCAAUGGGUCAUCCUGAAAACCCAUGGCCCAAGUUAGUGACUUUCAUAGCACUUUGGAGGGAUAUUCGUUUAAGAUCGGCCCAAGUGAUCGAGCCCACGUCAUUACUUGCAAAAGUGGGGCCGUUGUUUGUGCGGGCCUUA